This 216-nucleotide ribosomal RNA is filed under the name uncultured bacterium. Its description in RNAcentral is "partial 16S ribosomal RNA". It matches the Rfam family "Bacterial small subunit ribosomal RNA", at positions 29 to 224 of the family's 1533-position model. The record is from RNAcentral.
AGCGAACGCUGGCGGCGUGCCUAACACAUGCAAGUCGAGCGCGGGCAUUUCGGGGGUAACCCGGAUGUGCUGAGCGGCGGACGAGUGAGUAAUACGUGGACAACCUGCCUUAAAGCUUGGGAUAACUCCGGGAAACUGGAGCUAAUACCGGAUAAGACCACGGUGUCUAUGGAUGCUGAGGUAAAAGGCGGCCAGGAAACUGGCUGUUGCUUAAAG